This 250-nucleotide ribosomal RNA is filed under the name uncultured prokaryote. RNAcentral describes it as "partial 16S ribosomal RNA". It matches the Rfam family "Bacterial small subunit ribosomal RNA", at positions 524 to 773 of the family's 1533-position model. The record is from RNAcentral.
UACGUAGGGAGCAAGCGUUGUCCGGAAUUACUGGGCGUAAAGGGAACGUAGGCGGUUCUUCAAGUCAGGGGUGAAAUCCCGGGGCUCAACUCCGGAAUUGCCUUUGAAACUGUAGGACUAGAGUGUGGGAGAGGAAGAUGGAAUUCCAAGUGUAGCGGUGGAAUGCGUAGAUAUUUGGAAGAACAUCAGAGGCGAAGGCGAUCUUCUGGAACACAACUGACGCUUAGGUUCGAAAGCGUGGGGAGCAAAC